Molecule: non-coding RNA, 24 nt
Filed under: Drosophila melanogaster (fruit fly)
Lineage: Eukaryota; Metazoa; Arthropoda; Insecta; Diptera; Drosophilidae
Source: RNAcentral
CGAAUUCGAAAUAAAGCUGGUUGA